CGCAAGCACGGGGAGAACAUGCAAACUCCGCACAGAAAGGUCGCAAACCCGGAACCUUCUUGCUGUGAUGAAACGGCUCUACCCUGCAAAGUUUAUAGUUAUGGAAUUUCAGAAUAUUUAUUACAUCUUUUUUCAUAUAGAUUACAGUCAAACUAUUUUCUAGUCUUUAAACAUGAAGCAAUCUACAGUAAAGUUCAUUUACAUUAGAAUCUCCUUAGAGAAUAACCAGCUAGAGGAGUAUAAAUACACAUACUGCAACAGCAACCAAUUACAACGAACAACAUGGAUAUACAGUAGAAAAAAGUAGGGGUAUCAACAUUUCAUGUGCUGCUGGAGGAGUUUACAUUUGAAUGUUGAUUAUAGUGGUUCAUUAACAGCAGGUCUCAGCUCAGUUACACUGUGCUAUUGUUCAUUUGGGGAUUUUUAUGAUGUAGGCCUAAAUUCAAAUCAGUGCUUAGUUAUGUUUUAUUGUGUAUUAUUAAUUAAAUUCAGUGAUGUCUAAGCUUUUACUCAGCUGGGUGAGUUCUUGGUUCUGGUCAUUUCCCUCCAGAGCCACAGCAAAACUCAUUUAAUGAGCUAAAGAAAGAAAAUGCUUUUUCUCAUUCAGGUUCCUGACCUGAUUAGUACAAAAUAUACAACAGAUGAUGGCAUGUUAGAAACAAAAUAUAAUUUACAAUGUAUUUAUAUUUAUUUUAUCAUAUAGUAUGACUGUUACUUGUUUGGCUGAUUAUUGUUUUUAUCCUGGCUCAGUUUAUAAGAUGAAAUAGUUAAUGAUGUUUAUCUUUUACAGUGGUGUAUUUGUAAAUGUACAAGAUCUUGCUCCAUCCUGUGCUGGAGCUUUGUUUGGUGUUAUGAAUACAGGGGUCUUAAUGUGUAUUUCUCGGGGUAUCUCAUCAAAGCCACGAGCUCGUGGGCAUCUAUGUUUGCCCUCAUCACUACAGUCAACCUGCUGGGCCUUUGCACCUUCCUGGGUUUUGCUGAGGCCCGCCGGGUCGACAUUGAUCCUAGUAAAGUUUGCCACCACAACAUCCGCAUCUGAAGCAUCACUCACAGGGACCAGAAGUUUAUUCCCAAAGGAAAUGUGACCUUGGGCAGCCAGCAUCAAGGGCUUUAUCCACACCAGAGAACUAGCCAGUGGAUAGCAAGAAGCACAUGAAAAACACCUGGAUAUAACAUCUGGGCAUUUGAUUGGCUCUGGGUCUGGUAGUGGAAGUACAGCAUGGAAAGCUUUAGGAUUUGAGUGAAUGCAUUCUGGAAGCGUAUGAUGCAAGUAGGAAAACCAAAGGUUUUUAACUAUUUUGAUUUUCUUUCAGUGUGAUUUCAUGUAAUAGAAAAACCUUAGUUAAUUAUUUUGAUUACAUAUAUUUUUAUGGCUUAAUGAUUUUUGUUCAUUUAAAGUUUUUGUAGUAAGAGAAAAAAAUUCUAUUCAGUUUGAUGACAAAACAGUAUGGAAAAGCCAACAGACCUCUUUCUGUAAGUCUAGUGUCCUCACUUUUUUUUCUCUUCUGACCUGCGCUGUCCAGUCUGAGCCAGAAGUAACAUCUACACCUAGAGGCUUCACACCGUUUCAUUUCAAUCCACGGCAGGCAAAGGAGCUAUUUUGUGUUAGAAAAACCUUUCAGCUUUUAGUUUUUCAGACUUUCCACCAAUUCCACAUAUUCCUGACAUAUCUAGCUCUAUCCGAGCUCAGAUGUGCAUUAUUUACAACUGCCUUCAUUGCUUAUCCCUUUUUUUAUGUUGCUGUGCUGAAAAUGUAAACAUGUACAUAAAUAGCUGGAGUUCUGUCCAGCAACAUAUCUCUCACUCCAGGAGUCUGAAAGCCUUCUGACAAAUAGUUUUUGAGAAAGAGCAUGUAUGUAUGAUUACAACUAAAACACUGAUGUGAGAAAAUGCAGUAUUCCAGUGCUUUUAAAUUAUGCUGUAUUUAAAUUCAGUGUAUACAUUUUAAAUAACACUAUAUUUUGUCAGCAGGGAAGUUGUUUCAAUAUGCUGCACUAUCUGAAUGUAUUUCUUGUGUAGUGCCACAGAGAAGCAGUACAGUAUCAGUAAUGAAAGAGCAUCCUGCCAUCUAGCUUCCAAAGGGGAAUGGAAGACUUUUCUGUGGCAUUUUUAUUUGGAUGACUUUCAGCUUCUAGCAAAUAUUACUAUUACAUGGAAAGCAUUUUCAUAAACCUAUACAUACAGGUCAAAGAUGAAAUGAUUUCUGCUAUUAAACUGACAGCUUCUCAGUCUCAGUAGUGCACGUUUGUCCUGUUCACACGAGCAGCUCACUUACAGGCCCAGAUCACGAGUCCGGGCCAGCAGGACGUAUGUGGUGGCACCAUAUGGCAGGAUGCCGUGUGCCUAGCUGGCACUGCCCAUGUGUGAUUGGCCAGAUGCUAGUCAACCCAACCCACUCCUUCUCAUGGGACUGAAUGGCUCUGGUUGCCAUGGAGACAGAUGGCUUGUGGCAAAGAAAAGAAGGGGGGUGAGUGAAAGUAAUAAGUCAG
This is a long non-coding RNA of Monopterus albus (swamp eel), 2489 nucleotides long. RefSeq lists it as uncharacterized. The record is from RefSeq and is a predicted model, not a curated record. NCBI's taxonomy places the organism in Eukaryota, Metazoa, Chordata, Actinopteri, Synbranchiformes, Synbranchidae. The transcript is spliced from 3 exons.